AAUUUCAGAUCAAAUUCGUAGUCGUCAGUAGUAAAGAAUUUAAAUCAAUUGUCUAACUUUUUGUGCAUGCUUUGGUAAUUUUAAUACAGCACUUGCCAACGGGUUAGAUAGUUGAUAAAUAUAUAUCAUCAGCUGAGAAAUGUCUAUUUAUGAUUAAGAAGUAAAAAGAAAUAGGAGAUAGAAGAUUAAAAUACAGCAUUAUGUAAAGGUAGGUUCGAUCAAAUAGUAUUUACAAAAGAUAACUAAUGCAAACUGUCUAAGGGCCAGUGUGAGUGUUUGACACAAUUCCAACUGUCCUGUGUUGUCUGUUAUCAUAUGUUUGAAAGCGUCAUCUGUUGUCUGUUGUCUGGAAACUUUUUAAAAUUUCUCCCCUGAAACUGCUGGGCCAAUUUAAACAAAUCAUGGCCUGAGUCAUUCUAAGGAUGUCUAGUUAAAAUGGUAUGUUUGUUCAGCUCGCCAUCCAAUUAACAUGCCCCAUGUUACUAUAAAUAGAACAUGGGAGGUAAAACACUACUUUUUCUUUCUCCAAGAUAUUACAAGGCUAUUGAGACCAAAUGUUUGUAAAAAAAUAAUAAUUACAUAUAAGCAUGAUUUGUAUUGAACCGUUUGUUAAACAUAGGCUAAAAAAAAAUGGUUAAAGGUAAUGUGUCUAUAUAAAAGUUAUUUAUCCCACUUAAAAUUGCCUCUAGUAAAGACUAAAUAAGUAGGUUGUUUCAUUACAAUUUUAUUAACAAUUGGUUUCAUGUCGAAUUCAAAUUGUAAUAAUCAAUGUUAAUAUUUAUCAAAUUGCUUUAACAUAGGAUGCACUGCUGAAUUACUAUCACCCCCUGAAAACAAAGAUUUUGAAGCUAUAUAUGUCUGUCUGUAUGUAUCAUGGGCUUUGGAAUGUGAUAAAGCAAUGUCAGGUCACACUGACCAUAACUUCGACCUUUAAUCCCUAUUAAAGUAAAAGUUUGUCCAAUUCAUGUCCAGCUCACAACUUUUGUUUCACAAAACUAAGACAAGCCAAACUUGGUAUGCUGUUGCAUCAUGUGCUUUAUGCGUCUUAUACCAAAGUCAGUUCAUUAUGACCUUGACAUGGACUUUUGACCCCAGUGAUAAUAUAACCUUGUCUGAUUUGUGUACUUAUGCAUAACCUGUACUGUAGAAUGUAGGUUAAAUAAUCUGGUUGCUGAUGCACCAUGGGAUGGGGGUGGGGGGGGGGGGGGGGGUGCCUAUAUCAAGUCAGGUCACUCUGUAUGACUUUGACCUUUGAUCUUUAUGCAAGUAAAGCAUUGUCUGAUUUGUGUACUGUGCAUAACUUGUGUACUGAAGCAAAUAAAUAGACAACACCUUGUAUGCAUAAAGAUCAUGGUCACUCUGACCUUGACCCUUGAUUCCAAUGUCAUUGUCUCAAAAUUGAAUUUACUACAGUAAAUGGUAACUUAUAUGUAUGUCCUGGGUUUUAGAUGUGCUCAUUUUUUUUAGGUGUGUUUUAUUUAUUGGUCAGAUGGACUGUAUAGUUUUGGUUGAGAAUGAAAUGUAAUAGAUAUAAUAUGUGUAUACUUUGUAAAUGACUGCAUAAGAAGAAAUGAUGUCCUUAUAUUGAAUAGCUCAAUUGUUAGAGUUUUAAUAGCUUGUAUGCCAUGUAAUGAUAAUGUAUUGAAGGGUUUUUUUUGACAGUUAGAAGACAAUGCAUAGUUUUGUUUUUUCUGGUAAAUUUAUUUGUACUGUUUAUAAAGCUUAUUUCCUGUAGCCACAAGCAUUUAUAUAUCAGUUAAAAUUUUAAAUGUAAUUUGCAGAAUUGCAAUUAAUGAGUAUGUACCAUGUUUAAAUUUUCAAUGAACAAAUAUUUUAUUUGCAUUGCUAACUGAGUAAGAAAUACAUUAUAAACAUGAUUAACUGACUGUAAUAUUCUUGAAAUUGAAAAGUCUAAUGAAAGUAUCAAAACUGUCAGUAGUAUAAAAACUUUAAAUCUUAACAUAAAAUAAUAGAGAAAUUUAUCCUCCUACAAAACAACAGUAACACAUUUCCUUUGUUUUCACUGUAAUUCAUAUUUUUCUGUAUUUGUUUUAUACCAUAUACUGUUACUUCACAGCUGUACAACUGUAUCAUUUGCUAUUGAUGUAUUUGUCUGUAAACCUUUUUAUCAGCAUGUUUUUUUUUCAGAAUAUAGCAUAUUUAACCUAUAUAUAUAUAUAUAUAUAUAUAUAUAUAUAUAUAUAUAUAAGGUACGUUUAAACAAGUGACAACUCUAUAACAGAUCCAUCCGUUGGAUCAUUAGUGAAGGUGAUACACAGCUGAAAACACAUACUGAAUUCAUAAUUACUCUAAAUAUCAAGACACAACAAUGUUAAAUCUGCAAAUGUUUGGAAGCAAAUUUGUGUUCUUCCCCUGUUGGGAUUCGAACUCGUGCUAUUGGUAUAUCGAGACAACACUGCCAUCACUGUAUCUAGCGCUCUAGACUACUCAGCCAUAUAUAUAUACAUAUUAUAGACAAACAGCAAUCUAUGGUGGUAUUUUAUUUUAACCUUGAUUAUUUGUGCAUCCUAGGCAAAAAUGGAUUUAAAUCCAAAACAUCAGAUUGUUUUUGUUCAGUAAAAUGAAGAUAGAAAUUGAAAAUAAGAAACAGACCAACUAUACCAACAAUAAAUUCUGUGGCUUUGUGGUGAUUACUGAUCAUUUUGUCUAGUUUACUUCUGUAUCCUCAGACAAUACUAUUCCAAUGUUUAUCUUGAACAAUAAUUUAUUGGCAUUAAAUCUUUUUAUUGAAGAUUUAUAUAUGCAAUAUAUAUAUGCAAAGGAGAAAUGGUGGAGCGGUGAAUAAUUAAUUUGAAUUUUCAUUUUGGACAUUGACAAUAUUCACAUUAAAAUGUGCUAUUACAGGUACAAAGUCCUUUUAUACCCAAAGACACCAGACAAAGUAUACUAUUAAAUAAUUUUACAUAUUUUUAAUUAAUUAGGAACA
This 2947-nucleotide long non-coding RNA is filed under the name Mytilus galloprovincialis (Mediterranean mussel). The record is from RNAcentral. Lineage: Eukaryota; Metazoa; Mollusca; Bivalvia; Mytilida; Mytilidae.